Molecule: ribosomal RNA, 2930 nt
Filed under: Bacillus paranthracis
Lineage: Bacteria; Bacillati; Bacillota; Bacilli; Caryophanales; Bacillaceae
Description: 23S ribosomal RNA
Rfam family: Bacterial large subunit ribosomal RNA
Source: RNAcentral
UUUGGUUAAGUUAGAAAGGGCGCACGGUGGAUGCCUUGACACUAGGAGUCGAUGAAGGACGGGACUAACGCCGAUAUGCUUCGGGGAGCUGUAAGUAAGCUUUGAUCCGAAGAUUUCCGAAUGGGGAAACCCACCAUACGUAAUGGUAUGGUAUCCUUAUCUGAAUACAUAGGGUAAGGAAGACAGACCCAGGGAACUGAAACAUCUAAGUACCUGGAGGAAGAGAAAGCAAAUGCGAUUUCCUGAGUAGCGGCGAGCGAAACGGAACAUAGCCCAAACCAAGAGGCUUGUCUCUUGGGGUUGUAGGACAUUCUAUACGGAGUUACAAAGGAACGAGGUAGACGAAGCGACCUGGAAAGGUCCGUCGUAGAGGGUAACAACCCCGUAGUCGAAACUUCGUUCUCUCUUGAAUGUAUCCUGAGUACGGCGGAACACGUGAAAUUCCGUCGGAAUCUGGGAGGACCAUCUCCCAAGGCUAAAUACUCCCUAGUGAUCGAUAGUGAACCAGUACCGUGAGGGAAAGGUGAAAAGCACCCCGGAAGGGGAGUGAAAGAGAUCCUGAAACCGUGUGCCUACAAAUAGUCAGAGCCCGUUAACGGGUGAUGGCGUGCCUUUUGUAGAAUGAACCGGCGAGUUACGAUCCCGUGCGAGGUUAAGCUGAAGAGGCGGAGCCGCAGCGAAAGCGAGUCUGAAUAGGGCGUUUAGUACGUGGUCGUAGACCCGAAACCAGGUGAUCUACCCAUGUCCAGGGUGAAGUUCAGGUAACACUGAAUGGAGGCCCGAACCCACGCACGUUGAAAAGUGCGGGGAUGAGGUGUGGGUAGCGGAGAAAUUCCAAUCGAACCUGGAGAUAGCUGGUUCUCCCCGAAAUAGCUUUAGGGCUAGCCUUAAGUGUAAGAGUCUUGGAGGUAGAGCACUGAUUGGACUAGGGGUCCUCAUCGGAUUACCGAAUUCAGUCAAACUCCGAAUGCCAAUGACUUAUCCUUAGGAGUCAGACUGCGAGUGAUAAGAUCCGUAGUCAAAAGGGAAACAGCCCAGACCGCCAGCUAAGGUCCCAAAGUGUGUAUUAAGUGGAAAAGGAUGUGGAGUUGCUUAGACAACUAGGAUGUUGGCUUAGAAGCAGCCACCAUUUAAAGAGUGCGUAAUAGCUCACUAGUCGAGUGACUCUGCGCCGAAAAUGUACCGGGGCUAAAUACACCACCGAAGCUGCGGAUUGAUACCGAAUAGUAUCAGUGGUAGGGGAGCGUUCUAAGGACAGUGAAGUCAGACCGGAAGGACUGGUGGAGUGCUUAGAAGUGAGAAUGCCGGUAUGAGUAGCGAAAGACGGGUGAGAAUCCCGUCCACCGAAUGCCUAAGGUUUCCUGAGGAAGGCUCGUCCGCUCAGGGUUAGUCAGGACCUAAGCCGAGGCCGACAGGCGUAGGCGAUGGACAACAGGUUGAUAUUCCUGUACCACCUCUUUAUCGUUUGAGCAAUGGAGGGACGCAGAAGGAUAGAAGAAGCGUGCGAUUGGUUGUGCACGUCCAAGCAGUUAGGCUGAUAAGUAGGCAAAUCCGCUUAUCGUAAAGGCUGAGCUGUGAUGGGGAAGCUCCUUAUGGAGCGAAGUCUUUGAUUCCCCGCUGCCAAGAAAAGCUUCUAGCGAGAUAAAAGGUGCCUGUACCGCAAACCGACACAGGUAGGCGAGGAGAGAAUCCUAAGGUGUGCGAGAGAACUCUGGUUAAGGAACUCGGCAAAAUGACCCCGUAACUUCGGGAGAAGGGGUGCUUUCUUAACGGAAAGCCGCAGUGAAUAGGCCCAAGCGACUGUUUAGCAAAAACACAGCUCUCUGCGAAGCCGUAAGGCGAAGUAUAGGGGGUGACACCUGCCCGGUGCUGGAAGGUUAAGGAGAGGGGUUAGCGUAAGCGAAGCUCUGAACUGAAGCCCCAGUAAACGGCGGCCGUAACUAUAACGGUCCUAAGGUAGCGAAAUUCCUUGUCGGGUAAGUUCCGACCCGCACGAAAGGUGUAACGAUUUGGGCACUGUCUCAACCAGAGACUCGGUGAAAUUAUAGUACCUGUGAAGAUGCAGGUUACCCGCGACAGGACGGAAAGACCCCGUGGAGCUUUACUGUAGCCUGAUAUUGAAUUUUGGUACAGUUUGUACAGGAUAGGCGGGAGCCUUUGAAACCGGAGCGCUAGCUUCGGUGGAGGCGCUGGUGGGAUACCGCCCUGACUGUAUUGAAAUUCUAACCUACGGGUCUUAUCGACCCGGGAGACAGUGUCAGGUGGGCAGUUUGACUGGGGCGGUCGCCUCCUAAAGUGUAACGGAGGCGCCCAAAGGUUCCCUCAGAAUGGUUGGAAAUCAUUCGUAGAGUGCAAAGGCAUAAGGGAGCUUGACUGCGAGACCUACAAGUCGAGCAGGGACGAAAGUCGGGCUUAGUGAUCCGGUGGUUCCGCAUGGAAGGGCCAUCGCUCAACGGAUAAAAGCUACCCCGGGGAUAACAGGCUUAUCUCCCCCAAGAGUCCACAUCGACGGGGAGGUUUGGCACCUCGAUGUCGGCUCAUCGCAUCCUGGGGCUGUAGUCGGUCCCAAGGGUUGGGCUGUUCGCCCAUUAAAGCGGUACGCGAGCUGGGUUCAGAACGUCGUGAGACAGUUCGGUCCCUAUCCGUCGUGGGCGUAGGAAAUUUGAGAGGAGCUGUCCUUAGUACGAGAGGACCGGGAUGGACGCACCGCUGGUGUACCAGUUGUUCUGCCAAGGGCAUAGCUGGGUAGCUAUGUGCGGAAGGGAUAAGUGCUGAAAGCAUCUAAGCAUGAAGCCCCCCUCAAGAUGAGAUUUCCCAUAGCGUAAGCUAGUAAGAUCCCUGAAAGAUGAUCAGGUUGAUAGGUUCGAGGUGGAAGCAUGGUGACAUGUGGAGCUGACGAAUACUAAUAGAUCGAGGACUUAACCAUAUAA